RNAcentral lists this ribosomal RNA (588 nucleotides) under uncultured bacterium. Its description in RNAcentral is "bacterial SSU rRNA". It matches the Rfam family "Bacterial small subunit ribosomal RNA", at positions 338 to 916 of the family's 1533-position model. The record is from RNAcentral.
CCUACGGGAGGCAGCAGUGGGGAAUAUUGGACAAUGGGCGGAAGCCUGAUCCGGCCAUGCCGCGUGUGUGAAGAAGGCCUUUUGGUUGUAAAGCACUUUAAGCGAGGAGGAGGCUACUAGUACUAAUACUACUGGAUAGUGGACGUUACUCGCAGAAUAAGCACCGGCUAACUCUGUGCCAGCAGCCGCGGUAAUACAGAGGGUGCGAGCGUUAAUCGGAUUUACUGGGCGUAAAGCGUGCGUAGGCGGCUUUUUAAGUCGGAUGUGAAAUCCCCGAGCUUAACUUGGGAAUUGCAUUCGAUACUGGGAAGCUAGAGUAUGGGAGAGGAUGGUAGAAUUCCAGGUGUAGCGGUGAAAUGCGUAGAGAUCUGGAGGAAUACCGAUGGCGAAGGCAGCCAUCUGGCCUAAUACUGACGCUGAGGUACGAAAGCAUGGGGAGCAAACAGGAUUAGAUACCCUGGUAGUCCAUGCCGUAAACGAUGUCUACUGGCCGUUGGGGCCUUUGAGGCUUUAGUGGCGCAGCUAACGCGAUAAGUAGACCGCCUGGGGAGUACGGGUCGCAAGACUAAAACGUUAAGGAAUUGACGG